GUCUACGGCCAUACCACCCUGAACACACCCGAUCUUGUCUGAUCUCGGAAGCUAAGCAGGGUCGGGCCUGGUUACUACUUGGAUGGGAGAGAAUGGAAAGCAUAGUCA
This 108-nucleotide ribosomal RNA is filed under the name Erinaceus europaeus (western European hedgehog). The record is from RNAcentral. Lineage: Eukaryota; Metazoa; Chordata; Mammalia; Eulipotyphla; Erinaceidae.